GCUGGCGGCGUGCCUAACACAUGCAAGUCGAACGGUAACAGGUCUUCGGAUGCUGACGAGUGGCGCACGGGUGAGUAACGCGUGGAUAUCUGCCUAUUAGUGGGGGACAACUUUCGGAAACGGAAGCUAAUACCGCAUAAUCUCUACGGAGGAAAGCAGGGGACCUUUCGGGGCCUUGUGCUGAUAGAUGAGUCCGCGUCUGAUUAGCUAGUUGGUAGGGUAAAGGCCUACCAAGGCGAUGAUCAGUAUCUGGUUUGAGAGGAUGAUCAGACACACUGGAACUGAGACACGGUCCAGACUUCUACGGAAGGCAGCAGUGGGGAAUAUUGCACAAUGGGGGAAACCCUGAUGCAGCGACGCCGCGUGUGGGAAGAAGGCUUUAGGGUUGUAAACCACUUUCAAUUGGGAAGAAGAGAUGAGUACUAAUAUUAUUCUGAUUUGACGGUACCUUUAGAAGAAGCACCGGCUAAUUUCGUGCCAGCAGCCGCGGUAAUACGAAAGGUGCAAGCGUUGUUCGGAUUUACUGGGCGUAAAGCGAGUGUAGGUUGUUUAUUAAGUCGGAUGUGAAAUCCCAGGGCUCAACCCUGGAACUGCAUUCGAUACUGAUAGGCUAGAGUUCGGGAGGGGUAAGCGGAAUUCCGUGUGUAGCAGUGAAAUGCGUAGAUAUACGGAGGAACACCUGAGGCGAAGGCGGCUUACUGGACCGAUACUGACACUGAGACUCGAAAGCGUGGGUAGCAAACAGGAUUAGAUACCCUGGUAGUCCACGCCCUAAACGAUGUCAACUAGCCGUUGCGGGUAUCGACCCCUGCAGUGGCGAAGCUAACGCGAUAAGUUGACCGCCUGGGGAGUACGGUC
RNAcentral lists this ribosomal RNA (858 nucleotides) under uncultured bacterium. RNAcentral describes it as "bacterial SSU rRNA". It matches the Rfam family "Bacterial small subunit ribosomal RNA", at positions 35 to 887 of the family's 1533-position model. The record is from RNAcentral.